Molecule: ribosomal RNA, 394 nt
Filed under: uncultured bacterium
Lineage: Bacteria
Description: bacterial SSU rRNA
Rfam family: Bacterial small subunit ribosomal RNA
Source: RNAcentral
GACGAACGCUGGCGGCGUGCUUAGCACAUGCAAGUCGAGCGGUAAGGCCCUUCGGGGUACACGAGCGGCGAACGGGUGAGUAACACGUGGGUGACCUGCCUCUAGCUCUGGGAUAAGCCUGGGAAACUGGGUCUAAUACCGGAUAUGACUCCACGGCGCAUGUUGUGGGGUGGAAAGCCUUGUGUGGCUAGAGAUGGGCCCGCGGCCUAUCAGCUUGUUGUGGGGUGAUGGCCUACCAAGGCGACGACGGGUAGCCGGCCUGAGAGGGCGACCGGCCACACUGGGACUGAGACACGGCCCAGACUCCUACGGGAGGCAGCAGUGGGGAAUCUUGCGCAAUGGGCGAAAGCCUGACGCAGCGACGCCGCGUGAGGGAUGACGGCCUCGGUGUAAC